This 28-nucleotide non-coding RNA is filed under the name Homo sapiens (human). Lineage: Eukaryota; Metazoa; Chordata; Mammalia; Primates; Hominidae. The record is from RNAcentral.
ACCUGGAAAAGCCGAAGACCCUCAAUGC